AAAUUGAAGAGUUUGAUCAUGGCUCAGAUUGAACGCUGGCGGCAGGCCUAACACAUGCAAGUCGAACGGUAACAGGAAGAAGCUUGCUUCUUUGCUGACGAGUGGCGGACGGGUGAGUAAUGUCUGGGAAACUGCCUGAUGGAGGGGGAUAACUACUGGAAACGGUAGCUAAUACCGCAUAACGUCGCAAGACCAAAGAGGGGGACUUUCGGGCCUCUUGCCAUCGGAUGUGCCCAGAUGGGAUUAGCUAGUAGGUGGGGUAACGGCUCACCUAGGCGACGAUCCCUAGCUGGUCUGAGAGGAUGACCAGCCACACUGGAACUGAGACACGGUCCAGACUCCUACGGGAGGCAGCAGUGGGGAAUAUUGCACAAUGGGCGCAAGCCUGAUGCAGCCAUGCCGCGUGUAUGAAGAAGGCCUUCGGGUUGUAAAGUACUUUCAGCGGGGAGGAAGGGAGUAAAGUUAAUACCUUUGCUCAUUGACGUUACCCGCAGAAGAAGCACCGGCUAACUCCGUGCCAGCAGCCGCGGUAAUACGGAGGGUGCAAGCGUUAAUCGGAAUUACUGGGCGUAAAGCGCACGCAGGCGGUUUGU
Molecule: ribosomal RNA, 593 nt
Filed under: Escherichia coli
Lineage: Bacteria; Pseudomonadati; Pseudomonadota; Gammaproteobacteria; Enterobacterales; Enterobacteriaceae
Description: bacterial SSU rRNA
Rfam family: Bacterial small subunit ribosomal RNA
Source: RNAcentral